AUGAUCACGGGCUCGGCGGUGUACCAAGUGGUGGAGGCGAUGGCGCCGCUGUACACGGCGGCGGCGCUGGGCUACGCGUCGGUGCGGUGGCUCAAGGCCUUCUCCGAGGAGCAGUGCGCGGGGAUCAACCGCUUCGUCGCCACCUACGCCAUGCCGGCGCUCAUCUUCGACAUGGUCUCCACCAACGAUCCCUACGCCAUGAACGGCCGCCUCGUGGCCGCCGACACGCUGCAGAAAGGGUUCAUGCUGCUCGGCCUCGUGGCGUGGGCGGCGUGGUCAUCCCCCCGCCGCCGCGACACAUCUGCCGGCAACGGCAAGGUUGCGGCCUCGCCGCUGCAGUGGGUGGUCACCGCCUUCUCCAUGGCGCAGCUGCCCAGCACCAUCGUCAUGGGCGUGCCGCUCCUCGGCGCCCUGUACGGACCCACGUCCAAGGACCUCAUGAAACAGAUCGUCGUGAUGCAGCUCUGCGUCUGGUACAACGUCGUCAUCUUCAUGUACGAGUACAUGGCGGCGAAGGAUGGCAGCACCAAGGUCGGCCCCGCCCCAGCGUCGCCGGAGAACGUUGAAAGCACGGAGGUCCAGGCGGCACAACAAGGCAUGGCCGCGGCCAGCCAGACAACGUCGACCGCGGUCGUGGGAGAGGCGAGUCCGACUCAUGGUGCAGAUGCCGAGGUCGCGGAGGCAGAGGAUGUCGCGUUGCCGCCACCUCCAUCGAUGAGCCAUGUCGCUUUUGUGACAGGGAAAAAGGUUCUCAAGAUCCCAAACACAUAUGCUACCUUCCUUGGCCUCUUUUGGGCUCUAAUCGCAUUCAAGUGUAGAAUCAAGAUGCCGAAAAUCAUCGUUGACUCUUUGUUCACCAUACAGACAACAACAGUUGGCCUAAGCAUGUUUUCAUCAGGGACGUUCAUGGCGCGACAGCCACGGUUUAUUCCAUGCGGCUAUGUGAUCGCUUUGGUUUCAAUGAUCCUCAAGUUUCUGAUAGGCCCGAUGGCGAUGCUGCUCGCGUCAUUCGCUAUUGGCAUGCAGGGUACCCUAUUGCGCAUUGCAGUUAUACAGGCGGCACUCCCUUUGUCCGUGAUUUCAUUUGUGUAUGCUAAAGAGUACAAGGUCCAUGCAGAUAUCAUGAGCACUGGGGUAAUCCUUGGGAUAUUUAUCUUGCUUCCUGUCACCAUUGUGUACUACAUUCUAUUGGAGCUGUGA
This 1200-nucleotide ribosomal RNA is filed under the name Triticum aestivum (bread wheat). RNAcentral's name for it is "partial small subunit ribosomal RNA". The record is from RNAcentral. Lineage: Eukaryota; Viridiplantae; Streptophyta; Magnoliopsida; Poales; Poaceae.